GACGAACGCUGGCGGCGUGCUUAACACAUGCAAGUCGAACGGAAAGGCCCCUUUUGGGGUACUCGAGUGGCGAACGGGUGAGUAACACGUGCGUAACCUGCCCUUGACUUCCGGAUAACUUCAUUAAACUGGGUCUAAUACCUGAUAGGAAUCCUUGCUGCAUGGUUGGGGUUGGAAAGCUUCUGCGGUUUUGGAUGGACUCGCGGCUUAUCAGCUUGUUGGUGGGGUAGUGGCUUACCAAGGCUUUGACGGGUAGCCGGCCUGAGAGGGCGACCGGCCACAUUGGGACUGAGAUACGGCCCAGACUCCUACGGGAGGCAGCAGUGGGGAAUAUUGCACAAUGGGCGGAAGCCUGAUGCAGCAACGCCGCGUGCGGGAUGAAGGGCUUCGGGUUGGAAACCGCUUUCAGCAGGGGAGAAGCUUGUGGUGACGGUACCUGCAGAAGAAGCACCGGCUAACUACGUG
Molecule: ribosomal RNA, 465 nt
Filed under: uncultured bacterium
Lineage: Bacteria
Description: partial 16S ribosomal RNA
Rfam family: Bacterial small subunit ribosomal RNA
Source: RNAcentral